This 814-nucleotide long non-coding RNA is filed under the name Sorghum bicolor (sorghum). RNAcentral describes it as "long non-coding RNA (SBIC_LNC015250)". The record is from RNAcentral. Lineage: Eukaryota; Viridiplantae; Streptophyta; Magnoliopsida; Poales; Poaceae.
GAUGAACACACCCUUUGACCGAACCCUAGAUUGUCCCAAAUGGAAAAGUCAUGAAUACAAAGUUUGCUACACUCAUGAAGUUCUACAUUUUGUCUAAUGGUCAACUUUUCAUUUGGAAAAGUUUGAACCACUGAAUUUUGAAUUUUCAUAGAACUCAUAGCCACGCAGCGGUUUCGGAUCCCUAGAUGGUCUCAAAUGAAAAAGUCAUAAAUAUCAAUAUUGUUCCACUCAUCAAAAUCUACAUUUCAUAUAUAGACCAUUUUUGCAUUUGACAAAGUUUUGGGAAGGUGUAGUUGAAAAUCCACAAUUGACACAUAUAGUUUCAUAUAGUUUGUGUGAGAUUCAAGAAUUGGUGGGUAUUGUUAACUUAGACUUUCUCAAAUGGAAAAGUUGUGUAUAUAAAAAGUUUAGAUCUUGAAGAUAUCUAACAACUUGGUAUUCAAAAUAUUUUCAUUUGAAGUAAUUUAGUUUGUCAUUUGACCAAGUUUGACCAAGUUUGACCAAAACCCGUCUUGGAUUUUAUAGAAAUGUAAUUAGGAUUGGCUCAAAAUUAUCCAAAUGGAAAAAUGGACAAUAUAUAAAAUAUAGAUCUUGAUGAUCUCUAACAACUUUGUAUUCAAACUUUUUUCAUUUCAAGUCAUCAAAUGGGCUAUUUGACCAAGUUUGACCAAAGUCAAAGCAUUGGUUUUUACAAACACACUCUUUGACCGAACCCUAGAUUGUCCCAAAUGGAAAAGUCAUGAAUACAAAGUUUGCUACGCUCAUCAAGUUCUACAUUUUGUCUAAUGGUCAACUUUUCAUUUGAAAAAGUUUG